UCGUUUCAAUUUUUUUUUUUUUUUUAAAAAAAAAAUUUCAAAAAAAAAAAAAAAAAAAAGAAAAAAAAAGCGAGUAUGACCCUGACAGCAAUUCUACAUCGGGUAUCGAUCAACAGCAAAAA
Ipomoea nil (Japanese morning glory) is the source of this 122-nucleotide long non-coding RNA. RefSeq lists it as uncharacterized. NCBI's taxonomy places the organism in Eukaryota, Viridiplantae, Streptophyta, Magnoliopsida, Solanales, Convolvulaceae. The transcript is spliced from 2 exons. The record is from RefSeq and is a predicted model, not a curated record.